This 254-nucleotide ribosomal RNA is filed under the name uncultured bacterium. Its description in RNAcentral is "partial 16S ribosomal RNA". It matches the Rfam family "Bacterial small subunit ribosomal RNA", at positions 524 to 776 of the family's 1533-position model. The record is from RNAcentral.
UACGAGUGCCCCAAGCGUUAUCCGGAAUUAUUGGGCGUAAAGGGUGUGUAGGCAGCAUGGUUAGUCUUUUGUUAAAGCUCCCGGCUCAACCGGGAAGAUGCAAGGGAAACGGCCAUUGCUAGAGGAUGUGAGAGGUGAAUGGAACUCAUGGUGUAGGGGUGAAAUCCGUUGAUAUCAUGGGGAACACCAAAAGCGAAGGCAAUUCACUGGCACAUUCCUGACGCUGAAACACGAAAGCGUGGGUAGCGAAUGGG